RNAcentral lists this non-coding RNA (946 nucleotides) under Marchantia polymorpha subsp. ruderalis. RNAcentral's name for it is "Bacterial small subunit ribosomal RNA". It matches the Rfam family "Bacterial small subunit ribosomal RNA", at positions 843 to 1533 of the family's 1533-position model. Lineage: Eukaryota; Viridiplantae; Streptophyta; Marchantiopsida; Marchantiales; Marchantiaceae. The record is from Rfam by way of RNAcentral.
GGUUCGGAGGGAGGUAUAUGUCUUCCACAUGGGAGAUGGGUACCGACCCUACCAAAGGAAUUGACGGGGGCCUGCACAAGCGGUGGAGCAUGUGGUUUAAUUCGAUUCAACGCGCAAAACCUUACCAGCCCUUGACAUAUGAAUAAGUGUGCUUGUCCUUAACGGGAUGGUACGAAAAUUCAUACAGGUGUUGCAUGGCUGUCGUCAGCUCGUGUCUUGAGACGUUGGGUUAAGUCCUAUAACGAGCGCAACCCUCGUUUUGUGUUGCUAAGACAUGCUUUGGUUCAAUCCUUGACCACUGGAGACUGACGAAGACUACGCCGUGAAAAUGGAGGAUACCGACGAGCUAAGUUUUUGCAAACGCCGUGUGGCUCAUUCUGAAAAGAAUAUGACCAUACAAAGUUUUUCAUAGAGUACUCUCCGAAGAGUACAUUGACACUGAGUUCCUCAGUCUUAGUCAAAAUGAUUGACACUCCAAGCCAUGUGCUGCACUCACAAAAAACUGCCAGUGAUAUACUGGAGGAAGGUGGGGAUGACGUCAAGUCCGCAUGGCCCUUAUGGGCUGGGCUACACACGUGCUACAAUGGCAAUUACAAUUGGAAGCAAUGCUGUAAGGCGGAGCGAAUCCAGAAAGAUUGCCUAAGUUCGGAUUGUUCUCUGCAACUCGAGAACAUGAAGUUGGAAUCGCUAGUAAUCGCGGAUCAGCAUGCCGCGGUGAAUAAGUACUCGGGCCCUGUACAAACUGCCCGUCAAACCAUGGGAAUUGGUUUCGCCCGAAGCAGCCGACCAAAGAUCACCCAUUACUCGAGGUGUUCCACGCCGUUGUUGAGUGUGGUCUACUAGAGUCAUUGGUGAUCUUAUGUAGGAGACCAAGGUUGGGCCAUUGACUGAGGUUAAGUCGUAACAAGGUAGCCGCAGGGGAACCUGUGGCUGGAUUGACUCCUUU